RNAcentral lists this ribosomal RNA (465 nucleotides) under uncultured bacterium. RNAcentral describes it as "bacterial SSU rRNA". It matches the Rfam family "Bacterial small subunit ribosomal RNA", at positions 28 to 507 of the family's 1533-position model. The record is from RNAcentral.
GAUGAACGCUGGCGGCGUGCAUAACACAUUCAAGUCGAACGGACGUAAUGCCUUCGGGCAUUAUGUCAGUGGCGGACGGGUGAGUAACGCGUGAAUAACCUGCCUGUGUGUGGGGGAUAACAGCCGGAAACAGCUGCUAAUACCGCAUAACGUAUACGUUUCGCAUGUGAUGUAUACCAAAGAUUUAUUGCGCACAGAUGGAUUCGCGUCCGAUUAGAUAGUUGGUGGGGUAACGGCCUACCAAGUCGACGAUCGGUAGCCGGACUGAGAGGUCGACCGGCCACAUUGGAACUGAGAAACGGUCCAGACUCCUACGGGAGGCAGCAGUGGGGAAUAUUGGGCAAUGGACGGAAGUCUGACCCAGCGACGCCGCGUGAGGGAAGAAGGUCUUCGGAUUGUAAACCUUAGUCAACAGGGAAGAAGCAAGUGACGGUACCUGUGGAGGAAGCCACGGCUAACUACGUG